AACGAACGCUGGCGGCAUGCCUAACACAUGCAAGUCGAACGAGACCUUCGGGUCUAGUGGCGCACGGGUGCGUAACGCGUGGGAACCUGCCCUUAGGUUCGGAAUAACUCCCCGAAAGGGGUGCUAAUACCGGAUAAUGUCUUCGGACCAAAGAUUUAUCGCUUUUGGAUGGGCCCGCGUUGGAUUAGCUAGUUGGUAGGGUAAAAGCCUACCAAGGCGACGAUCCAUAGCUGGUCUGAGAGGAUGAUCAGCCACACUGGGACUGAGACACGGCCCAGACUCCGACGGGGGGCAGCAGUGGGGAAUAUUGGACAAUGGGCGUAAGCCUGAUCCAGCGAUGCCGCGUGAGUGAUGAAGGCCUAAGGGUUGUAAAGCUCUUUUACCCGGGAUGAUAGUGACAGUACCGGGAGAAUAAGCUCCGGCUAACUCCG
This 431-nucleotide ribosomal RNA is filed under the name uncultured bacterium. Its description in RNAcentral is "partial 16S ribosomal RNA". It matches the Rfam family "Bacterial small subunit ribosomal RNA", at positions 29 to 505 of the family's 1533-position model. The record is from RNAcentral.